This is a long non-coding RNA of Manis javanica (Malayan pangolin), 1069 nucleotides long. RefSeq lists it as uncharacterized. The record is from RefSeq and is a predicted model, not a curated record. Lineage: Eukaryota; Metazoa; Chordata; Mammalia; Pholidota; Manidae.
UCUGCAAGAACCAGCUGCUACUUGGGCUGGACAGGAGGCCUGUCUCUGCUUUGCACAAACGUACCACCAGAGCUGGGGAGAGGGGCUGAGGGCAAGAUCAAGGCCGUACACUAAGGGCUGCUGGCUGAGGGGCAUGCCAGGGAGCCGUGUUCUGACCCAUGUGGACAGUUGGGAGGAAGACGUUGGAGCCCUGAGGGGUCCUGGCAGGGGGCCCGAUUGAGUGGGGGGUGUUCUCCUUGGAGGGAAAUGUAACCUGUCUUCACUCUGACGUUUGCUGAGAUGUGGUCCAGGGGAGGCGCCAGCCCAAGGAGAGCAGGAAGGCAAUUCCCGCAUGUCCUGGUGGCUCCUGUGGGCUGGUAUGUCCUUGUGCCUGGGGUGGGGCUGGCUGCUGCCUUCUUGUCGAUGGUGCUGAAAUCCCACCGCCCUGGACGGUCCUGUUUGUUGCACCAGGAGGGUCUGGGUGAGACUUGCUCUGCCUUCCUGCCCCAACCUUCACCACACGGCUCGGCCAGUGAAUGGGAACAGGCAACAUAGAGGGAGGGCAGGCGCUCUGGGUGGGCAGUGGGGUGAGAAGGUUACAGGCUCGCAAGCCAGGCCCCCUUCCUGGUAGUACAAUCCCUGGGGGUGACACUCUGUCCACCACAGGAUACGGUCUUGGCUUCCUGCUGGGGGCAGGGUGUCUGAGGGCCUCCAAAGCCAGCUCUGCUUCUGUGGCCAGCGAGGCGGUGAGGAGCCACGGCUUUACCAGCUGGCAACCCUUCCACCCUCCAGUUGGUGCUGGUGGACAUGGCCAAGCCCGGAAACAUGCUCUGGUUGCUGCCUGACAUAGGCCUGGCCAUGGGCUGGGACCCCUCAGGCCCCACAUCUGCGCUCCGUUCUGAAGGCCAUCCCUUCCCAAGUGCCAAGACUCUGCCCAGGUGCUGAGUAUGAGCACCCAAGGCUGCCUCUUUCUUCACAGCCACUGGGCUAGGCCACCUUGGGCUGCUGCCUUGGGGCUCCACUAAGAACGAUUGCUUCUCUUUUAAUUGAAUGUGGAAAUGUGCUCCAUCCAAGGAGUACUGUUAUUAUU